RNAcentral lists this ribosomal RNA (773 nucleotides) under Latilactobacillus sakei. RNAcentral describes it as "bacterial SSU rRNA". It matches the Rfam family "Bacterial small subunit ribosomal RNA", at positions 21 to 755 of the family's 1533-position model. Lineage: Bacteria; Bacillati; Bacillota; Bacilli; Lactobacillales; Lactobacillaceae. The record is from RNAcentral.
GGCUCAGGACGAACGCUGGCGGCGUGCCUAAUACAUGCAAGUCGAACGCACUCUCGUUUAGAUUGAAGGAGCUUGCUCCUGAUUGAUAAACAUUUGAGUGAGUGGCGGACGGGUGAGUAACACGUGGGUAACCUGCCCUAAAGUGGGGGAUAACAUUUGGAAACAGAUGCUAAUACCGCAUAAAACCUAACACCGCAUGGUGUAGGGUUGAAAGAUGGUUUCGGCUAUCACUUUAGGAUGGACCCGCGGUGCAUUAGUUAGUUGGUGAGGUAAAGGCUCACCAAGACCGUGAUGCAUAGCCGACCUGAGAGGGUAAUCGGCCACACUGGGACUGAGACACGGCCCAGACUCCUACGGGAGGCAGCAGUAGGGAAUCUUCCACAAUGGACGAAAGUCUGAUGGAGCAACGCCGCGUGAGUGAAGAAGGUUUUCGGAUCGUAAAACUCUGUUGUUGGAGAAGAAUGUAUCUGAUAGUAACUGAUCAGGUAGUGACGGUAUCCAACCAGAAAGCCACGGCUAACUACGUGCCAGCAGCCGCGGUAAUACGUAGGUGGCAAGCGUUGUCCGGAUUUAUUGGGCGUAAAGCGAGCGCAGGCGGUUUCUUAAGUCUGAUGUGAAAGCCUUCGGCUCAACCGAAGAAGUGCAUCGGAAACUGGGAAACUUGAGUGCAGAAGAGGACAGUGGAACUCCAUGUGUAGCGGUGAAAUGCGUAGAUAUAUGGAAGAACACCAGUGGCGAAGGCGGCUGUCUGGUCUGUAACUGACGCUAGCUCG